RNAcentral lists this ribosomal RNA (149 nucleotides) under Cyrtandra jonesii. RNAcentral's name for it is "5.8S ribosomal RNA". It matches the Rfam family "5.8S ribosomal RNA". Rfam says of the family: 5.8S ribosomal RNA (5.8S rRNA) is a component of the large subunit of the eukaryotic ribosome. It is transcribed by RNA polymerase I as part of the 45S precursor that also contains 18S and 28S rRNA. The record is from RNAcentral. Lineage: Eukaryota; Viridiplantae; Streptophyta; Magnoliopsida; Lamiales; Gesneriaceae. RNAcentral also lists the same sequence under 2 other names.
AACGACUCUCGGCAACGGAUAUCUCGGCUCUCGCAUCGAUGAAGAACGUAGCGAAAUGCGAUACUUGGUGUGAAUUGCAGAAUCCCGUGAACCAUCGAGUCUUUGAACGCAAGUUGCGCCCGAAGCCUGAUUCAGGUUGAGGGCACGUC